RNAcentral lists this ribosomal RNA (253 nucleotides) under uncultured bacterium. Its description in RNAcentral is "partial 16S ribosomal RNA". It matches the Rfam family "Bacterial small subunit ribosomal RNA", at positions 524 to 776 of the family's 1533-position model. The record is from RNAcentral.
UACAGAGGGUGCGAGCGUUGUUCGGAAUUAUUGGGCGUAAAGGGCGCGUAGGCGGUGCGGUAAGUCACCUGUGAAAUCUCCUGGCUCAACUGGGAGCUUGCAGGCGAAACUGCCGUGCUGGAGUGUGGGAGAGGUGAGUGGAAUUCCCGGUGUAGCGGUGAAAUGCGUAGAUAUCAGGAAGAACACCCGUGGCGAAGGCGGCUCUCUGGGACGGUACUGACGCUGAGACGCGAAAGCGUGGGGAGCGAACAGG